Molecule: ribosomal RNA, 377 nt
Filed under: uncultured organism
Description: partial 16S ribosomal RNA
Rfam family: Bacterial small subunit ribosomal RNA
Source: RNAcentral
GGGGGGAGCAAACGUUUGUUCGGAAUCACUGGGCGUAAAGGGCGCGUAGGCGGCCCCGCAAGUGGUGUGUGAAAUGCCCUGGCUCAACCAGGGAACUGCGCACCAAACUGCGGAGCUUGAGGACAGUAGAGGAAGCUGGAAUUCCUGGUGUAGCGGUGAAAUGCGUAGAUAUCAGGAGGAACACCGUUGGCGAAGGCGAGCUUCUGGGCUGAUUCCUGACGCUGAGGCGCGAAAGCUGGGGGGGAGCAAACAGGAUUAGAUACCCUGGUAGUCCCAGCCGUAAACGGUGAACACUAGGUGUGGGGGGGUGUCGACCCCUUUCCGUGCCGUAGCUAACGCAUUAAGUGUUCCGCCUGGGGAGUACGGUCGCAAGGCUG